CCGGCGACCGGCGCACGGGUGAGUAACACGUAUGGAACCUGCCCGCAGCAGGGGGAUAAGCGGAAGAAAUUCCGUCUAAUACCGCGUAACAACGUUGGGAGGCAUCUCCCGAUGUUUAAAGAUUUAUCGGCUGCGGAUGGCCAUGCGGCGCAUUAGCUAGUCGGCGGGGUAACGGCCCGCCGAGGCGACGAUGCGUAGGGGUUCUGAGAGGAAGGUCCCCCACACUGGUACUGAGACACGGACCAGACUCCUACGGAAGGCAGCAG
This 266-nucleotide ribosomal RNA is filed under the name uncultured bacterium. Its description in RNAcentral is "partial 16S ribosomal RNA". It matches the Rfam family "Bacterial small subunit ribosomal RNA", at positions 88 to 354 of the family's 1533-position model. The record is from RNAcentral.